This 292-nucleotide ribosomal RNA is filed under the name uncultured bacterium. RNAcentral describes it as "partial 16S ribosomal RNA". It matches the Rfam family "Bacterial small subunit ribosomal RNA", at positions 505 to 796 of the family's 1533-position model. The record is from RNAcentral.
GUGUCAGCCGCCGCGGUAAUACGAAGGGGGCUAGCGUUGUUCGGAAUUACUGGGCGUAAAGCGCGCGCAGGCGGUUCGAUAAGUUGGGGGUGAAAUCCCCGGGCUCAACCCGGGAAUGGCCUUCAAGACUGUCGAGCUAGAGGACGAGAGAGGUGAGUGGAAUUCCCAGUGUAGAGGUGAAAUUCGUAGAUAUUGGGAAGAACACCGGUGGCGAAGGCGGCUCACUGGCUCGUUUCUGACGCUGAGGCGCGAAAGCGUGGGGAGCAAACAGGAUUAGAAACCCCAGUAGUCC